This 477-nucleotide ribosomal RNA is filed under the name uncultured bacterium. RNAcentral's name for it is "partial 16S ribosomal RNA". It matches the Rfam family "Bacterial small subunit ribosomal RNA", at positions 28 to 507 of the family's 1533-position model. The record is from RNAcentral.
GAUAAACGCUGGCGGCGUGCAUAACACAUGCAAGUCGAACGAUGAAGAUUAAAAGAUUUCUUCGGAAUGAACUUAAUUGGAUUAGUGGCGGACGGGUGAGUAACGCGUGAGUAACCUGCCUUGUACAAGGGGAUAGCCGUUGGAAACGACGAAUAAUACCCUAUGACAUCAAAUAAUCGCAUGAUAAUUUGAUCAAAGAUUUAUCGGUAUAAGAUGGACUCGCGUCUGAUUAGCUAGGUGGUAGAGUAAAAGCCUACCAAGGCAACGAUCAGUAGCCGGCUUGAGAGAGUGUACGGCCACAUUGGGACUGAGACACGGCCCAGACUCCUACGGGAGGCAGCAGUGGGGAAUUUUGCACAAUGGGGGAAACCCUGAUGCAGCGACGCCGCGUGAUUUAGAAGGCCUUCGGGUUGUAAAAAUCUUUUGUAUGGGAAGAAAAUGACAGUACCAUACGAAUAAGGACCGGCUAAUUACGUG